Molecule: non-coding RNA, 728 nt
Organism: Nelumbo nucifera (sacred lotus)
Lineage: Eukaryota; Viridiplantae; Streptophyta; Magnoliopsida; Proteales; Nelumbonaceae
Source: RefSeq, a predicted model, not a curated record
UUUUGCCCUAAUGGGAAGAAUGGGAGGGAAUGCACUAUUCAUCGUCUCCCCUUAGAACAAAGAACUAGUAGCAGAGCAUCGGUGCAACGGUGGUGCUAUGCUUGAAAUCUCCCUCUCUCACUCACAUUGGAAACCGACAUUCUAUGACCGCGACUGCAAGUAGCCUGUGAUAGAAUGUCGUCUGAAACCACUCCUUGCAGCUGAAAUUACUCCCUGCGGCAUCGUUUGAAUUUUGGCUAACAUCCCGCCUUAGUUCUGAGUACCAAUCCGAAAUGAAGUUGGAUUGUAGCUUUGCUAAAAACUGCAUUGCUGAGCCGGCUUCACUCCAAGUUGCGCCAUCUUCAGUGAAAGCUGGUUUUGGGAUUCAAUAUGGGCGUGAACUACCACUUUGGGAGCUAUAUUUGUGGAAUUUGUAUCAGAAGGGUGAAAAAUUUUGGAUUGAAUGAAAAAUGAUUGUUGCAAUGAAAACUUAUGGUAAGCAAAAGGUUGGUACACCUAUUGAGCAUCUUGAGACCAAGGAUUCUUUAAUGAUGCAAGGCAAUAUAAUUUUUCAUGAUAUUAGCAGUCAUCCAAAUUGUUUACGUUCAAAAUAAAAUGGUUUCACACUUAAGAUCAAAUAUCACAAUAAAUGUCCAUCUCAGAUUUGUACACAAUUUCUCCAAAUGCUUGAAUGCACAAGAAGAAUAAGAAGUUUCUCCAAUAAUGUUAUGCCUUAUAUAUUUAAAAUC